AGUGAACGCUGGCGGCAUGCUUUACACAUGCAAGUCGAACGGCAACACACUGAGAGGUUGUGACGACUGGCGGACGGGGGCGUAAUGGAGCGGAAUGUGCCGAGACCUAGUGGUUAGCGACUGGUAAGGGAAGCAAACACCCCAUACGAUCGAUUAAGGAAUACGGGGGACAGCAAGGGAUCGUGCGACUUGGCGGGCCUGUGUGAGACGAUGUAGGAUUUGGUGGUUGGGGGGGUAAAGCCAAACCAAGGCGACGAUCCGUAGCUGGUCUGAGAGGAGGAUCAGCCACACUGGAACUGAGACACGGCCCAGACUCCUACGGGAGGCAGAAGUGGGGAAUUUUGGACAAUGGGCGCAAGCCUGAUCCAGCAAUGCCGCGUGCGGGAAGAAGGCCUUCGGGUUGUAAAGUCCUUUUGUACGGAAAGAAACGGAUCUGGUUAAUACCCGGCGGUAAUGACGGUACCGAAAGAAUAAGCACCGGCUAACUACGUG
RNAcentral lists this ribosomal RNA (492 nucleotides) under uncultured bacterium. RNAcentral's name for it is "partial 16S ribosomal RNA". It matches the Rfam family "Bacterial small subunit ribosomal RNA", at positions 30 to 507 of the family's 1533-position model. The record is from RNAcentral.